GGAGGGGCUGCCGCGAGCUCCUUAGGGCCCCUUGUCUUCAGUGAUAAUUCUCCGCAGCUUGGCUCUGGCUGUCUUACCUCCUCCCCCUGUGUAACUGAGCCUCUGGCUCUGUCAACACCUCUGCUGCGUGCACCAUGACAUGUGUGAGCCUUGAGCCGGGCAGGAACCCUCGGAGUGAGGUGUGAGUUUCUCCCGAGGCCAUCAAAGCCGCCUUUCUGCAGCAUGCGAGACACUUUGGGCUCUGCUGGCCAGAAAGCCAAGCCUUCACGAGGGAAGGGAGAAGGGAUCCUUCAAUCUUCAGACUGAUCUUCCCGGGCCCCAUCCUUCCCCACAUUAACUCUGCUUGUACCGGCUGAAUUAACAUACUCUAAAGCACAAUGCUAAGCAGGUUCUGUUUCUGAUCAAAAGCCUCCACUGUCCUCAUUUCCUACCAAAUGCAAGCCAAGUCAGCUGCCCUGGCAUGCUGGAACUUUCUCAGGAUGAUCCCACAUGCUUUUCUAGGCUUCUCUCCUGCUGUAAACACCAAGCACUUCAGCCGGAAUGACGCUUCCCAGUCUCUGCAGACAUGGCGCUGUCUUGCCUCAGUUCUCCUCCUGCUUUCUUCCUGCCCACUUCUACCUGUCUAAAGCCCCCUCAUUCUGCAAACCUAACCUCGAAGCCACCUUCAGUGUCCCUGAUGGCUCCAGUCACAUGUCACCCCUCCUUGCUUGAGGCGCCUGUCCUGUUAAACCGUGGGCAUAGUCUCCUUAUUUUAAUUACAUGGCCCUUUGCCCCAACCUUCUUGGUAGACUGAGUUUAGACAAUAGGGGCCAUGUAUAUCCUGUGUCACUAUGCCACGGCCAGGAUCUGGGGUUGCCGGCAGCUGCAGCUCUGAUUCGACCCCUAGCCUGGGAACCUCCAUAUGCCGUGGGUGUGGCCCUAAAAAAACCAAAGACAAAAAAAAAAAAAAAAAAAAAAAAAGACAAAGAAAUACUUAUAUCACUUGAUUGUUUUCCCCCUUCCCAUCAUAUUAUUUGGGUAGAUUUUAAAAAGAGCCUUGUUGGUACCUCUCAGAUAAUCAGAUAAUCCUAGAUUCUUCAGCAAAGAAAUGGAUCUUAGCUGUUAUUUUGUCUAAUCCUGCAUUUGAUAAAAGGAACCUCUUCCUGACACCCCUGCUUCUCUGUUAGGGGAUAAUGCAACAUAAUUUCCUCUUGGGGCCUUUGGAAAGUAAUUAGGUCCAUCCAAGUAAAACCAAAUACCUGGAGCAAGAGAGCAAUUUUAUAUACAAAAGCUUUAGAGUUCAUCCAGUUGUGUCUCCUUGGAAGCCAGGCUGUCCCUUCAAGCAGGUGUUCUCCGGCUGCAGUGGCAGGAAGGGCCCAGUCUGCUGGUAACAGGACUCAGAGCAAGCCGACUCAGGUGUCUGGGUCCCUUUCAGUUGCAACUAUCCCGCCUUGCACCCCGUGGCUGCCCCUCCUCCUCCUCUUCCUCCUCCUGGGGGCCAUCAUAUCUUAGCUCCCACUUAUCAAGUUUCUGAAUAUUUCAUCCCAGAAAUUGGAGGCAACGGAAUGUGGAAGAGCAGGUCACGGUCUUUGAAGGCAGUUAAACGGGGUUCGGUUUUCAUUUUCUUGCUUAGUGUGAUGUAGUUAAGAACUCUGGCUCUGGAGCUGGGCAGAGCUAGGUUCCAGUACUGCUCUACCAUUUCCUAUCUCUGUGACUAAGGACAAAUUACUCUGAGCCUUCAUUUUCUAAUAUGUAAAAUAGGGACAAUAACACCACCCUCAUUGCUUGUUGGUGACCAAUGAUAAAAUACAUGGGUAUCAGCUAGAAUGGCUUUGGCCGCAAGUAACAAAUAAAAACUCAAAGUGGCUGAAGCAAGGAGGAAAAUGUAUCUCACAGAACAAGCCGUCUACAAGUAGGCAAGUUACAGGAUUGGUUAAUUCACCCAAGACUCAGAUUUGUUCCAUCUUUAUGCUCUUCCCACCUCAGCUUGUAGGCUUUCCUAGGUUGGCUGUCCUCAUGAUGAUAAGAUGACUGCCACAGUCCGACCAUCACGUCCUGAUGCUACAAAAGCAGAAGAGGGUUAUCACUUUUGUGUUUCUUUAAGAGUAAGGAAACCUCUCCCUGGUAUUAGCACAGAACCCAUCUCUCCCCCCUCAAAGUCUUUAUAGAUGCGACUUCCUCAUUGAAGCUCCCUCUCGCAUCUUUGGUUCGAGCUGGGUUGAAAGCCUGCCUUUAGUCCAGUUACUGACACAAUAGGAUCACCAUGCUUGACCAGUCAUACCGGAGAUAGCAUCUCCUUUCCUUGGGGUUGGAUAUCUGAACAAAACUAGGAUUCUGUGAGCAGAGAAGACGGAUGGGGUGGUUGUUAUGGGGGCAGCCAACAGUGUCUGUUACAGCCUGGAAUCUGACACAGAGUAAGCAUUAAAUAUAUGUUAGCUGUUGUUGUUAUUAACUCCUAUUAGCUGCGUGAACUUGCUCAGUUCCUGUCUAAUGUUCUAUAGCUGUGAUUGUGCCUAUUGGUCUUGCCAAACCUGAUCCUCUGGGAGCAUUUACCUGUGCCCAGUUGUCCUUCCUCUGUGUCAGGAGACCCUGUUAAGACAAUGAGCCCACUGCCCUGGUGCUCUUGCCUCUAGAGGGCCCUGGAGGCUUCCCCUACUCAAGAGUUUGAGGGCCUAAGACCAAAAACCCAGCCACCACCAAGAGUUCUCACUUCUUGGCCUUUGAGUCCUCAACUGAGGAGGGGAGCUUGAUGGGCAGGAACCAGCUUUGUCACAGCACCUAGGACUAAAGCUUUGUCAGAUCCAGGUUCCCAUCCUAGCUUGACCACUUAACAGCAAUGUGACCUCGGGCAAAGCUCUUUAUUUCUCUCUAAGUGUCAUUUUCCUGGCCUAUAGCGUUAUAGAAUAUAGUGCCCAUUCAUAGCAUUAUGGUAAAGAUUAUAUUAGAUGGUGGUGAUACAUAAAGCUUUUCAACUUGAGGGAGGCUUAACACACGGUGCCCAUGUUCUUAUAAGAACUCAAUAACCAUUUGCUGAUUGAUUGUAGAAGGUGAAUUUGUGCACAUAGGCUCUUGAAGACAGGGAUAAUUAACCUAAGUCUAAUGCUUACCCUUUUUUCUUUUUUAGGGCUGUACCCACAGCAUACGGAAGUUCCCAGGCUAGGGGUCGAAUCGGAGCUACAGCUGCUGGCCUACACCACAGCCACAGCAAGGCCAGAUCUGAGCUGCAUCUUCAACCUACACCACAGCUCACGGCAAUGCCAGAUCCUUAACCCACUGAGCGAGGCCAGGGAUCAAACCUGCAACCUCAUGGUUCCUAGUCGGAUUCGUUUCCCCUGUGCCAUGAUGGGAACUCCCCUAAUGCUUAUAUUUUUAUGAAAACUAAAUUUUCCUAGUAGAGGUAGACAUGAGCCUUAGCCUUAUUUUUACACACGAUGAUACUGAGGCUCAGAGAAUAAGAAAGUCUGGUUCACUCAGCAAGUUAAUGGCAGAGCAGGGAUUUGGACCCAUGUAACGCUGAUGCCAAAACACCAUACUCUUCCCCUGACCUAUCUUGCCCUCUUAACCUGGUCAUUUAAUCUGCCCAUUCAACCUCCUCAGUGGCCACACCUUCCACGUCCCUCCUCACAGAAGUCUCUCGAGCCCCUGAGUUCCUAGAGCCCUUGCUCGAACCUUUCAUCACUUCACACUUACGAGCACAUCCAAUGAGCCAGGCCUUAAAGCUGGGCUCACCCUUGACCCUUCUCUCUCCCUCCACUCCUCAUGUCUAAUAGGUUACUAAGAUUUGUCAUUUCUGUCUUUUAAUUUUUGCUUUUUAGGGCCGUACUCUCGGCAUAUGGAAGUUCUCAGGCUAGGGGUUGAAUGAGAACUGUAGCUUCCAGCUUACACCAUAGCCACAGCAAUGCAGGAUCCGAGCCACAUCUGCAAGCUACACCACAGCUCAUGACAACCCUGGAUCCCUAACCCACUGAGCGAGGCCAGGGAUCGAACCUGCAUCCUCGUGGAUACUAGUCAGGUUCAUUACUGCUGAGCCACAACGGGAACUCCAUUUCUGCUUUUUAAAUAACCCUUAAGUUGUUACGUGCGUCUCUCUCCCCACUACUACCACCAUGUUUCAAGCCUCCAACAGCCAUCCGUCCAUGUUGCAGCCUGGUACUGCAGCAGCCCUUCUGGUCUCCCUGCCCCCGUGCAUUCUCCAGAGUGAUAUUUCCAACAGGGGAAGCCGACCAUGUGAGUCCUACACCUAAAACUCCUUCAGAGCACGUGGACGCCUCAUCUUCUGUCACUUUCCCUUCACAUUCUGGAUGCUGGUCUCUUGGAAUGAGCUGCCAUCCCCGAAGAGACAUCCUGCCUCUCCCCUCCAAGCCUUUGCAUGUGUUGCUUCCUCUGCCAGGAUCAAUGCAAGCCCUCCUCCCAGGCUUGCCCGGAAAACCCUUCUUCAUUCCUCAGGAAAGCACCCCCUCUUUCUCCGCCUCCAGCCCACAGCUCAAGCGAUCUCGAAGCAACUUGCACUUCCUUCUCUCAUGGCACUGACCUCCCUGGAUUGUAACUGUCUUUCUCUUCUCCAUCUUUACCACUAGACUGUAAGAUCAUGAGUUGAGGGCAGGGUCCCCAACCUAUUCAUUGCUCUACCCUCGGAUAAGUCAUGUGCUCAAGUGUUACCGCUGCACUGGAGUCUUCUCAGUGGAAGCAGGCUCCGCAGUUUCCAAUGAAGUUGCUACGGGUGUUGGGAGGAGCCCCAAAUAGCCCACAAUCGCCUCCUCUCCCUCUGCACCCCCAGAAUCCCAACCACGACAGAAUAGCAUGAUGACUUGCUUCCUUGGGGGACUUCCAGCCAGUGGAGCAUUUCAAUAAACAAACAAUAAACGCGUGGAACAAAUGAGCGAGGGAAAUGCAGGCUCUCAAGAGGAGGAUGGAAAUCCGACUUGGCAAGGGGCUGUGACUGCUUCUAAGGCUGAUAGAUUUAUGAUUGGGAAUUUUGUGUUUCCACAUGGACCUUGCCUGACUCUAUUAUGCUAACAGGCAGGGCCGGAUGGAGAGUGAAAGUGAUUUGGGGGCGAUAGGAGACCUAGAUUCUUUUGACUUGGAAAGAGCUUUGAGUUUGUACAUUCCAUCUUCAAACACAGGGGUUCUAAAUGGUCUUAGGGGGGUACAGAUGCUUUGUGCACGCAUGUGCUCUUUCUCUGCUCUCCCUCUCUCUUACACAACACACACACACACACACACACACAUCCACAUACACACUCACACCUAUACAUAAGGAAUAAUUUUUAAAAAAACCACUUGGUCACAUUCUCAUGCUUCCCCAAGAAAUCAGAUAGAUUCACUCAGUGGGUUAAGGAUCUGGCAUUGUCUUAAGCUGGGGCAUGGGGCAUGGAUUCUGCUUGGAUCUGGCGUUGCUGUGGCUGUGGUGUAGGCUGGCGCCUGCAGCUCUGAUUCAACCCCUAGCCUGGAAACUUCCAUAUGCCUUGGGUGUGGCCCUAAAAAUUAAAAAAAAAAAAAAAAAAAAAAAA
Molecule: long non-coding RNA, 5489 nt
Filed under: Sus scrofa (pig)
Lineage: Eukaryota; Metazoa; Chordata; Mammalia; Artiodactyla; Suidae
Description: lncRNA (ENSSSCG00060031637.1)
Source: RNAcentral